RNAcentral lists this transfer RNA (65 nucleotides) under Yunnantettix bannaensis. RNAcentral describes it as "tRNA-Ile". The record is from RNAcentral. Lineage: Eukaryota; Metazoa; Arthropoda; Insecta; Orthoptera; Tetrigidae.
AGUGCUAAGCCUGAAAUUAAAGGAUUAUCUUGAUGUGAUAAAAGUUGUAUAAUAUACUGGUACUU